RNAcentral lists this ribosomal RNA (696 nucleotides) under uncultured bacterium. Its description in RNAcentral is "bacterial SSU rRNA". It matches the Rfam family "Bacterial small subunit ribosomal RNA", at positions 32 to 715 of the family's 1533-position model. The record is from RNAcentral.
AACGCUAGCUACAGGCUUAACACAUGCAAGUCGAGGGGAAACGAUAGAGAAAGCUUGCUUUUUCUAGGCGUCGACCGGCGCACGGGUGAGUAACGCGUAUCCAACCUGCCCACCACUUGGGGAUAACCUUGCGAAAGUAAGACUAAUACCCAAUGAUAUCUCUAGAAGGCAUCUGAAGGAGAUUAAAGAUUUAUCGGUGAUGGAUGGGGAUGCGUCUGAUUAGCUUGUUGGCGGGGUAACGGCCCACCAAGGCGACGAUCAGUAGGGGUUCUGAGAGGAAGGUCCCCCACAUUGGAACUGAGACACGGUCCAAACUCCUACGGGAGGCAGCAGUGAGGAAUAUUGGUCAAUGGGCGAGAGCCUGAACCAGCCAAGUAGCGUGCAGGAUGACGGCCCUAUGGGUUGUAAACUGCUUUUAUAAGGGAAUAAAGUGAGCCUCGUGAGGCUUUUUGCAUGUACCUUAUGAAUAAGGACCGGCUAAUUCCGUGCCAGCAGCCGCGGUAAUACGGAAGGUCCGGGCGUUAUCCGGAUUUAUUGGGUUUAAAGGGAGCGUAGGCCGGAGAUUAAGCGUGUUGUGAAAUGUAGUGGCUCAACCUCUGCACUGCAGCGCGAACUGGUCUUCUUGAGUACGCACAAUGUGGGCGGAAUUCGUGGUGUAGCGGUGAAAUGCUUAGAUAUCACGAAGAACUCCGAUUG